Molecule: long non-coding RNA, 521 nt
Filed under: Androctonus crassicauda
Lineage: Eukaryota; Metazoa; Arthropoda; Arachnida; Scorpiones; Buthidae
Source: RNAcentral
AUUAUAUUAAAAUGGCAGAUACAAUUAAAUCUUAUUGCUAAUUUUCUAAAUUUUUUUUUACAGAUCAAUUUUAAAAUUAGUAAUCAUUUUUGAAUUUCAAAAGGUGAUUGUUGUAGCUUAACUGUCUAACAGGUUUGUACGUGGGUUUGUAUUAAAUUCAAUACUGCACUAAUUGAUAAUUCUGUAUCAAUGAUGGGAAAGCGUAAGAAAGUAUGGCGUAAAGAGCAUAUUGAGAAAAUAGUAGAUAGUGAAGAAGAAGAAGAAGAAGAAAAAGAAGAUGCAGAAGAAGAAUUUGUAUCACCUAGAAAAUGUUAUCGUAAGACGAAAGCUGAAUUUGAUAAGACAACUUGGAGCAUUCCGGAAAAAGCUCUUCUGUUAGAAGGUCUAAAACAAUUUGGAUUCAAUAAUUUAGAUAGAGUAGCUGAUCAUGUUAAAACAAAAAGUACAAAUGAAGUCCGGUAAGUAAUUUACUUUUUGUAUAAUUUUAAAUAAGUAAUUAGUAAUUCGGGUAAACGUGUAGU